AUUUGCAUAGAAAUCCACCAAUUUUGAGUUUUUUUUGCAAAAUAGACUACUUUUUUGAAUUUUGCAGAUUAAAUCUGAAUUUUUAAUAAACUGACUAAAAUAUCUUUAUUUUCUUUUCUCUCUUUUUGCUCUCUCUCAUGUUCGUUUUUCUCCUUCCUCUUCGUAUUUCCUUUUCACCAUCCUUUCCUUUCUUUCUUCUCCCGCUUCCUCUCCCUCCUCCACUGCCCCCCACAUUGAUGCUGCACUCCUCUUUCCUACCUUGCUUAUACCUCUGACGCCAUCAGUAGCAGCAGCGAGAGUUCUGAUAUAGUACAAAUUGCGAAGGUAAGGUUGCAGUGGAGAGAGUGAACGGCCAUGGCGACAAAGGUGCCGCAUGAUUUGAGGAGGACAAAGAGAGAGCACUUUGGGGUUGGGAAGGCUAUUGCUGCAGAGGGCGACGAGGGAGGGGAGUGCAGUAGAGAAGAUGGAUGCAGAAAGUGGAAGAAAAAAAAGAAAGAAUAAAAAGAAAAAUAAAGAAAAUAUAUAAUUUUCUUUUUCUUGGAAGGCCAUUAUAUGCCACAGUCGUUAUAGGUAAGGUCAAAAAAUAUAGAAGAAGUUACAAUAUUUGAAACGAGUUACACUAUUUGAGACUAAAUUCGAUCAUUUAAAAUUAUUUAAGACUAAAUUGCACCACAUAAAAUAAAAAUCGCGCUGUUUGAAACUAAGUUGUAUUAUUUGAGACUUAAGUUAUAUUAUUUAAAACUAUUUGAGACUAAAAAUAACUUCUCAAACAAUGCAAUUUUUAUUUUUUGUGAUGUAACUUAGUCUCAAAUAGUUCUAAAUAGUGCAACUUAGCCUCAAACAGUGUAAUUUAUUCUCAAAUAAUGUAACUUUAUUUUAAAUAAUACAACUUCUUUCUUCUCUACUUGUUGACCUUUUAUGUAAUUCCUGCGAUGCUUGGUAGUCUUAUCAAGAGAAGAAAAAUAUUUUUUCUUUUUUUUCUUUUUUUUUUUCUUUUUCUUUUUCUUUCACCAUGUAUGCAUCCUUUUUCACUAUUGUGCCCUCUCCUUCGCCUUUGUCAUGGCAGUCGCUCCCGCCGCGACGGGCUCUCUCUCCCCGUCCUCUUCAAAUCUUAUGUCAAUCUUAUGUCACCAUCGUCACCGUCACCAUCGACAAUCAUACCCUCCAUCGAAGCUUCACCUUCGCGAUACGUGCCAUCCUUCAUAUACCACUUCGGAAGUGUUUGACUUUUUCGAAAAAUAUCCUCGAAAAUAAUUUCCUGACUAAAAAAAUAUUUUCCAAUCAUUUAGUUCCUGAAGAAAAAUUCAGAAUUUUCUUUUCAGGUUUUCAUAAAAUUAGUAUAUUUAUAUUUUCAAUUUUUUACCUGACAAAUUAAAAAGAUGAAAAAUAAUGUUUUCCAUAAAAAAAAAAAUUCUUCAAAAAUACUUUUCUACCCUUUUCCAGGAAACCAACACCUAUAUGUGCCAUGAAAAAGCAUCAUAAAAGUUUACAUUAACAGCACAGACGAAAGAAAAAAAAAAAAAAAAAAUUAUGCUNAUUUUAUUUUUUAUUUUCAUUCCAAUCGUGAAUUACACAUGCUCUUACCGUAAUGCUAGUUACUAACAAUAAUCCAACAAAGGUAUAAAUAGAGAUUAUGUAACGGCUUUCCAAAGGAAAAAUAUUUUGACUUUACUAAUAUUUCAAUAUUUGUUAUAGCAGGGACAGUUCAAAGAAAUUGUAGAAUAUUUAUAUUAGCUAACAGCAUAUUUUUUUAAAGAUUACUGGGUGUUAGUCAAAAGGACCAACAAGUUUUAAAAGAGCCAAUUUGCAUAGAAAUCCACCAAUUUUGAGUUUUUUUUUGCAAAAUAGACUACCUUUUUUGAAUUUUGCAGAUUAAAUCUGAAUUUUUAAUAAACUGGCCAAAAUAUCUUUAUUUUUUUUUCUCUCUUUUUGCUCUCUCUCAUGUUCGUUUUUCUCCUUCCUCUUCGUAUUUCCUUUUCACCAUCCUUUCCUUUCUUUCUUCUCCCGCUUCCUCUCCCUCCUCCACUGCCCCCCACAUUGAUGCUGCACUCCUCUUUCCUACCUUGCUUAUACCUUUGACGCCAUCGGUAGCAGCAGCGAGAGUUCUGAUAUAGUACAAAUUGC
Molecule: long non-coding RNA, 2124 nt
Filed under: Ananas comosus (pineapple)
Lineage: Eukaryota; Viridiplantae; Streptophyta; Magnoliopsida; Poales; Bromeliaceae
Description: long non-coding RNA (ACOM_LNC031814)
Source: RNAcentral